UUUGGGACUGCCGGAUGGCUCAGCAGGUAAGGGUUCUUAUCAGCUGACUUCGAAAUCCUGAAAAAAGUUCUAAGGCUGAGACCAGCCCAGCUUCCUGGAAGAGGCUCAGAUCACCUGAGCCACCAGGAGAAGACGCUCUCCAACCCGCUGAGCUGUCUGCAGGCUGUAGGGUGUGCUCCAGUUUCCCAGCUUCUGGGAGCUGUCACCCAUGCUGGGGUGGGCUUUGGUGACGCAACUGUCUUUGAAUAAUUUUUGCUCCUGUAAGCGACCCUUCACCCAUAUUCCUGUGAAUGACCCCAAGAAAGCUCAUUCACCAGGUUAGACUUCAGCAGUGCCCACAACUCUGUUCUGUCUUCAAUUCCCUAUCUGGGGUGAGUAGACGUUUGUUCAUGCCUCUGCAGGAAUAGAGUCAUACAACAGAUAAAUUCUCAGGAAAUCACUUAGAGGAACUUAUUAGCAUGCCGAUUUCAAAAUGCCUGAUUAAGGCUGGGUGCUUAAGAGAUUGCGGUUGGCAAGAAGGGAGGGGAAUCUUCAACAUUAUAACCAUCUUCAUUGUUUAGCUCAAGAAUGCUGGAGAAGUUCUUUUGUAGCUGCAAACCUGAUUUGCCUCCAGUCCUUUGAUCCCCAGCAGGAGGCCUGCAGAGGCUGCACCAGCAAACUCAGAGAAGUUAUGAAGAGUGCCUGUCAGUUAUAUUUCGUGUACAUCAUGGCUGGCUUUCACUUCUCCUUGCUGAAUCCAUGAUUCCUGUUGCAGUGCUUCAUGAGAAAGAAAUGAGCAUGCUAAAGAUCUCAGGGAUGAUUCUGGAAAGGAGCCUUCUGGACUUGGGAAGUGGAACUGAUACACUCACUCUUCCCAUCAACUAAUAUCAGCCACGAGGCCUAGAAAGGCAGAUAUAGACAUUACAUCAUCAGCUUGUUGCUGGGGAAACCAAACAGCAGAGGUUUUUUUCUUGCCCUGACUCAUCUGACUCCACAGGACAGCUGCCAGCUUAACUUCUUCAUUGAGCGUGAAAAAAAAAACAAAAAACAAAAAACAAAAAACUAAAGUCAGUAAAUAAACAAAUAACAGUUCAAACUUAA
Molecule: non-coding RNA, 1080 nt
Organism: Rattus norvegicus (Norway rat)
Lineage: Eukaryota; Metazoa; Chordata; Mammalia; Rodentia; Muridae
Source: RefSeq, a predicted model, not a curated record